CUCUUUCUUUUUAAACAGGAAGAAGAGAGUUCAUCCAAAGAUUAAAACUUGAAGCAACCUUGAAUGUGCAUGAUGGCUGUGUUAAUACAAUCUGUUGGAAUGAGACUGGAGAAUAUAUCUUAUCUGGCUCAGAUGACACCAAAUUAGUAAUUAGCAAUCCUUACAGCAGAAAGGUUUUAACAACAAUUCGUUCAGGGCACCGAGCAAAUAUAUUUAGUGCAAAGUUCUUACCAUGUACAAAUGAUAAGCAGAUUGUAUCGUGCUCUGGAGAUGGAGUAAUAUUUUAUACCAAUGUUGAGCAAGAUGCAGAAACCAACAGGCAAUGCCAAUUUACGUGCCAUUACGGAACUACC
This is a long non-coding RNA of Talpa occidentalis (Iberian mole), 353 nucleotides long. RefSeq lists it as uncharacterized. The transcript is spliced from 3 exons. The record is from RefSeq and is a predicted model, not a curated record. Lineage: Eukaryota; Metazoa; Chordata; Mammalia; Eulipotyphla; Talpidae.